GCGACCCCAGGUCAGGCGGGACUACCCGCUGAAUUUAAGCAUAUAAAUAAGCGGAGG
Molecule: ribosomal RNA, 57 nt
Filed under: Festuca fasciculata
Lineage: Eukaryota; Viridiplantae; Streptophyta; Magnoliopsida; Poales; Poaceae
Also listed under: 6 other names
Description: partial 26S ribosomal RNA
Rfam family: Eukaryotic large subunit ribosomal RNA
Source: RNAcentral